Molecule: transfer RNA, 73 nt
Filed under: Micromonospora sp. WMMA2032
Lineage: Bacteria; Bacillati; Actinomycetota; Actinomycetes; Micromonosporales; Micromonosporaceae
Description: tRNA-Trp
Rfam family: tRNA
About the family: Transfer RNA (tRNA) molecules are approximately 80 nucleotides in length.
Source: RNAcentral
AGGGGCGUAGCUCAGCUGGUAGAGCACCGGUCUCCAAAACCGAAGGUCGCAGGUUCGAAUCCUGUCGCCCCUG